UCCAUAUCCACCUUGUGUGCAAUGUCAGUCGAUCUUCUUCAUGGAGAUCGACCAAACAUCAACCUUUAUCUUUUAACUCUUUGUCUGAAAAAUAUUAUGAAUAAACAAUUCAAAAUACAACUUUCAACAACGGAUCUCUUGGCUCUCGCAUCGAUGAAGAACGCAGCGAAAUGCGAUACGUAAUGUGAAUUGCAGAAUUCAGUGAAUCAUCGAAUCUUUGAACGCAUAUUGCGCUCUUUGGUAUUCCGAAGAGCAUGCUUGUUUGAGUAUCAGUAAACACCUCAAAGCUUUUGGAUUUUUUUUCGAAAAGCUUUGGACUUGAGCAAUCCCAACACCAAUCUUUUUGAGAUCGGUGGCGGGUUGCUUGAAAUGCAGGUGCAGCUGGACAUUCUCCUGAGCUAAAAGCAUAUUCAUUUAGUCCCGUCAAACGGAUUAUUACUUUUGCUGCAGCUAACAUAAAGGGAGUUUGACCGUAUUGGCUGACUGAUGCAGGAUUUCACAAGGGUCGGCAACGAUUCUUGUUAAACUCGAUCUCAAAUCAAGUAAGACUACCCGCUGAACUUAAGCAUAUCAAU
This 575-nucleotide ribosomal RNA is filed under the name Linnemannia elongata. RNAcentral describes it as "eukaryotic LSU rRNA". The stretch from base 119 to 272 matches the Rfam family "5.8S ribosomal RNA". The record is from RNAcentral. Lineage: Eukaryota; Fungi; Mortierellomycota; Mortierellomycetes; Mortierellales; Mortierellaceae.